RNAcentral lists this transfer RNA (87 nucleotides) under Roseovarius sp. RNAcentral describes it as "tRNA-Leu". It matches the Rfam family "tRNA". Rfam says of the family: Transfer RNA (tRNA) molecules are approximately 80 nucleotides in length. Their secondary structure includes four short double-helical elements and three loops (D, anti-codon, and T loops). Further hydrogen bonds mediate the characteristic L-shaped molecular structure. tRNAs have two regions of fundamental functional importance: the anti-codon, which is responsible for specific mRNA codon recognition, and the 3' end, to which the tRNAs corresponding amino acid is attached (by aminoacyl-tRNA synthetases). tRNAs cope with the degeneracy of the genetic code in two manners: having more than one tRNA (with a specific anti-codon) for a particular amino acid; and 'wobble' base-pairing, i.e. permitting non-standard base-pairing at the 3rd anti-codon position. The record is from RNAcentral. Lineage: Bacteria; Pseudomonadati; Pseudomonadota; Alphaproteobacteria; Rhodobacterales; Roseobacteraceae.
GCCCAGGUGGCGGAAUUGGUAGACGCGCUGGCUUCAGGGGCCAGUGGCCGCAAGGCCGUGGAGGAUCGAGUCCUCUCCUGGGCACCA